Molecule: long non-coding RNA, 449 nt
Filed under: Chlamydomonas reinhardtii
Lineage: Eukaryota; Viridiplantae; Chlorophyta; Chlorophyceae; Chlamydomonadales; Chlamydomonadaceae
Description: long non-coding RNA (CREI_LNC001021)
Source: RNAcentral
AAAAUCGUCGUAGGAAUCCAUCGUCGCUGUGACAGUUUAUAAGGAACUGCAUGCCCGAAUCAAAUGGAAGGUUGGCUCAGUGCAACUUCAUGCGCAACGCACCAAAAGACAUGCACAGGCUGACAGGCGCACACGCACACGCACACGCACACAGCACCGGGCCGCACGCUUUUCCCUUCGUUUCCUGCCCCCACAGGCUGACACAUGCGCCUGAACAGCCACGCACCUAGGGGCCUCGAGUCUGGGCCCACGGCCUGUCAAUUCAUCCACCUCCCGCUCAUUCAAUAUUUGCGAGCUAUGCUUGUACACAUGCCCCUUGGAUGCUUGUACACAUGCCCCUUGGAUGGAUGCAAAAACGGUUGGAUGAUGGAUACAGCGGUCUGCCGUAGCCUGCAUCAGUACCACGACUACUGCUGUCAUCGGUGCCACUUCGCCCAGCAGUACCCAUU